UACGGAGGAUGCAAGCGUUAUCCGGAAUGAUUGGGCGUAAAGCGUCCGCAGGUGGCUAUGUAAGUCUGCUGUUAAAGAGUGAGGCUCAACCUCAUAAGAGCAGUGGAAACUACAUGGCUAGAGUGCGUUCGGGGCAGAGGGAAUUCCCGGUGUAGCGGUGAAAUGCGUAGAGAUCAGGAAGAACACCGGUGGCGAAAGCGCUCUGCUAGGCCGCAACUGACACUCAUGGACGAAAGCUAGGGGAGCGAAUGGG
Molecule: ribosomal RNA, 253 nt
Filed under: uncultured bacterium
Lineage: Bacteria
Description: partial 16S ribosomal RNA
Rfam family: Bacterial small subunit ribosomal RNA
Source: RNAcentral